CCUACGGGAGGCAGCAGUGAGGAAUAUUGGUCAAUGGGCGAGAGCCUGAACCAGCCAAGUCGCGUGAAGGAUGACGGUCCUACGGGUUGUAAACCUCUUUUGUCAGGGAGCAAUUGAGUCCACGUGUGGGCUUAGCGAGAGUACCUGCAGAAAAAGCAUCGGCUAACUCCGUGCCAGCAGCCGCGGUAAUACGGAGGAUGCGAGCGUUAUCCGGAUUUAUUGGGUUUAAAGGGUGCGUAGGCGGAAUAUCAAGUCAGCGGUAAAAAUUCGGGGCUCAACCCCGUCGUGCCGUUGAAACUGAUGUUCUUGAGUGGGCGAGAAGUAUGCGGAAUGCGUGGUGUAGCGGUGAAAUGCAUAGAUAUCACGCAGAACUCCGAUUGCGAAGGCAGCAUACCGGCGCCCGACUGACGCUGAAGCACGAAAGCGUGGGGAUCGAACAGGAUUAGAUACCCUUGUAGUC
RNAcentral lists this ribosomal RNA (460 nucleotides) under uncultured bacterium. RNAcentral describes it as "partial 16S ribosomal RNA". It matches the Rfam family "Bacterial small subunit ribosomal RNA", at positions 338 to 795 of the family's 1533-position model. The record is from RNAcentral.